This 253-nucleotide ribosomal RNA is filed under the name uncultured bacterium. RNAcentral describes it as "partial 16S ribosomal RNA". It matches the Rfam family "Bacterial small subunit ribosomal RNA", at positions 524 to 776 of the family's 1533-position model. The record is from RNAcentral.
UACAGAGGGUGCAAGCGUUGUUCGGAAUUAUUGGGCGUAAAGCGCGUGUAGGCGGCUUUGCAAGUCGGGUGUGAAAGCCCUCAGCUCAACUGAGGAAGUGCGCCCGAAACUGCAUUGCUUGAGUGUCGGAGAGGAUGGCGGAAUUCCCCAAGUAGAGGUGAAAUUCGUAGAUAUGGGGAGGAACACCGGUGGCGAAGGCGGCCAUCUGGACGAUUACUGACGCUGAGACGCGAAAGCGUGGGGAGCAAACAGG